AGUGCGACUUAUAGUCCGGAAAAUACGGUAUUUGUUCAAGUUUUACUGCAAAUCUAAUCACACUGAGGUUAUCUGAACUUACUGUACCUUGACUUUAAUUCAACUCUGUAUGAUUUAACAGAUACAUAUUCAGUGUAGAAAUGAAAUAAUGCACAGAGAAAACAGCUGGAGCGUCAGAAACUACAGACGAGUAAAAACCAACAGGACAGAGAGAAAAAUGAAGGACAGAAAUAAAACACAAACCACUGGAUCUCAAGAGAAAAGCAGAUGGAGACUUGUUAGAUGGGACAGUAUGAAGAUGUUAAAACCCAAAUUCUCAGAUGAUCCAGACGGGCCUGAAAAGAUUAUUUCUGAUGUUCUCAAGAACACAACACACCAGCAUCAUCAUCAUCAUCUUCUUCUUCAUCACUCAGUUCAGCUCCUGGUCUCUUUCAGUGUUUACAGACUCAUUCCCUUCCAUCAGUGACUCUGUGUCUUCAGUUCACCUCUACAGGUCAUCAUCAGAAUCACAGCAGAGUUAAAAAUCUACAAAUAUAUGUGGCCAGAGGUAUAAAGACAGCAUGUUAAAACACAUAAAACUCAGUAUAUGGCCCCAUUAAGAGAUCGCCGAUCUCUGCUCGUGAGAUUUCCUGUUUGCAUGUGCGUGAACAGAACAGUCAUUUCGUGAUAAUCUGAUGUAGCAGCCGAGUGACAUGUCGUAGUGUGAUCCACAUGAACCUCGUGUCGGGGGAUAGUGGAAAUUUCCAGUGUAAUGUUCAGUAUUUUCUAUUCUUGUGUUAGCAUCUGGAAUUGUGCAAAGGCUAUCAGUGUUGUUAAAACUCGUGUUUUAAUGUUUAACAAUGUGUGUUCAUGUGAACAAGGUGGUUAUUGUGAGAGCAAAGAUGAGAUGACUUUGUUAAUGUGUUUCCUUUAUCUCUAAGGAUUCAGGAUUUUGGUGAAGCGAACAAGAUUUA
Carassius gibelio (silver crucian carp) is the source of this 953-nucleotide long non-coding RNA. RefSeq lists it as uncharacterized. Lineage: Eukaryota; Metazoa; Chordata; Actinopteri; Cypriniformes; Cyprinidae. The record is from RefSeq and is a predicted model, not a curated record. The transcript has 2 exons.